RNAcentral lists this long non-coding RNA (2382 nucleotides) under Equus caballus (horse). RNAcentral describes it as "lncRNA (ENSECAG00000057229.1)". Lineage: Eukaryota; Metazoa; Chordata; Mammalia; Perissodactyla; Equidae. The record is from RNAcentral.
CUGGAAGGGGGGUGGGGCUGUAACACAUUUCCUGCUAGACAGGCAAGUCUUGUCAAAGAAACCUUUACUCUGACUCUUGUAAGCUUGUCUAGGCUGAAGGUGGGUGAUGAACGAAGGGAUCCAGGACCCAUCUGUAGCUAUCUCUUAGCUUUCGACUUCAGAGAAAAUCCUGAGACACCAGCGACAUUCCCAUUUAACAGAGACACACUGUGGGGUGGUUUAUUGGGAAAAUGUCCCAGGCAGGAACAGUCCAGCCAUGGAGGAACGUGAACUUGAAUUUGAACUCUUUGGAUUCAUGAACUGAGACUCCCUCACUCCUCAGGGAAGCUCCCACAGCUGCAGCUGAUGCUGUCACGGGCCGUUUCCCCCAGCUGGUUUGAGUUUCUACCAGCACAUUUUGAGCUUUAGGAUCUGGAGGGAAACCACUGGAGAGCAGGAAUCGAAUGGAAAGGUUGUGAGGCCGAUUAAAGCAAUGUCUGCUGCCCGCUGUGGGCCGGAACAUGCGAUAAAGAAGAAACAGGUUCAUUGACAAAAGCUGGUCAUGGCGACUGGCCACGUGUAUGCCACCAGGAAACAGGACAUCAGUGGGUGUGACUCACCUCCUGCCUCAGCCUCAACCUGUGAUGAUAAUGAGCUUGUGGAGAGAGAGAGAGAAAUCUUCUUCUGCCCUGUUCUCGUGAUACCUUCUUUUGGGCUCUGUGUUGAUGCCGCAAGACAGGAGUUACUGAAGUGCAACACACCUGCCUGGAUGCCAGACUUUACUCAGAAAUCACCUCCUCGGAGAGGCCUUCAUGACCAUGCAUUCAAAAAAUAAAUCUGUCUUAGACAUUAGUCCAUUACUAAUGUUCACAAAUAUUGGCUUCAAUUACACCUCAAUAAAGCAGAAAAAAAGAAUAUUGGUUUCUUCUCAAGAUCUCUGGCCUCGAAGGAUCACGUUUCCCUGAGUUCUGGAAUUUAGGUGCAGAUGCCGACUAGUUCUGGCCGAUGAACUGGGAGCAGAAGUGCCACGUGUCCCUCUAGAUUGUGGGUGCUUGCCUCUCAGGUCUUCUGCUCACCUGCUGUGGUGGACCCGGAAGCCUCAUGUGGAGCUGGCAGCAUUGGAAACUGGUGGACCCUAAGCAGGACUGUGGGGAAGCACACGGCAGAGGCUUCUAACUCGGAUGGUGGGACCCCAGGGAAGAUUGGAGGAAAUCAGUUCUAAGCUGAGUCCUGAAGACUGAGCAGGAACCAAGCAUUCAAGCCUCCUAGUCCACACCCACAACAGACCUCAUGAGAGCAAAAUAGAAACUUCCAGUGUGCUGAGGCCCUGAGACGUCGGCAGUGUUUGUUUCCGCAGUGCAAGCUCAGUGUAUCCUGACUGGUCCAACAGCCCCCAGCCCCGCUCUUCUCUGAGUCCUUAAUCUGCUCUAUUUUUCUUCGUAGCACUUAAUACUACCUUGUAUAAAGUUACGCAUUGAUUUACUGAUUUGUUUAUCAUCUAUUUUCCUCCAAAUGGCAUCAGGGCAAGGAUUCCAUGGAGUCUUUGUUCUCUGCUGUAUCGCUGUGGUCUAGCACAGAGGCUGGCCCACAGUAGAUGCUCAACGAAUACUUUAGAAUGAAUGACUGGAUAAAUGAAAGGCUGCCCAUGCCUGUCACAGCCUUACCACACAGCGUUAUGGUGUUUCUAUGGACAUUUAUCCAUUUAACCAAUAUUUCUCAGGCAUACCUGUUAUGUGCCAAACAGACCAUGGGGAUAGAGCAGGAAAUUUCUCAAUGAAUUAUAUGUCUGUCUCCCCUGCAAUGAGUACCUGAAGGCCAGAGAUUGUACUUUUCGUGUUUAUGUCCCUGGUUCCUGCACAGAGCUGACAUCCAGUAAUGUGUGUUGAAUAAAGAAACGACUCAACAAGUCCGUGAGGAAGGCAUCAUUAGAGAAAGACCAGGCAUGACUUGUGUCGCGGCAUCACCCUGAAACAUGUGUUCUCGCCAGGAGGCGUCAUUCUCUUCAGCUAUGAUGCAGAUGCAGCAUAUGGGUCAUUAUGCACAUCCAGCAGACUGUAAGUCCCCUGAGGGCAGGGCCGUGUUUCUUUCAUCGAUGUUUCAUCGCUGGCAACGGCACAAUGCCUGGCCUAUUGCCAUAGGAACUCACUACAUGUAUGGAAUGAAUGAAUGAAUUUAACUAGCAACUUUUGUGUAUGUGUCCAUUUCUUUAUGAUACACUUUCUUGAGCAUUUUGUCCUUUGAGAUAUGCCUGGUGGGAAGGCCUGUCCGUGUCCUGAAGACUGUGCCAGAGUGUGACAGUCCUGUCCUUUUCACCUGAAAAGUUCACUUGAACUUCCUUCUUCCUUCCUUCUCCUUUUUGGGGUUUGCAAGUUCAGCACUUACAAGCGGCUGCCCAUUUUCCAG